CUCCCAGCAACUCCUAUUCCUACCUCCUCGUGGUACUGGCCGGGGUACGAGUAGUCUUAGAUCGAGUAAUCAACCCCGAUGGAAACUCUGGUCGUAUGUUGACAGGGAAGA
This 111-nucleotide ribozyme is filed under the name Aedes aegypti (yellow fever mosquito). RNAcentral's name for it is "drz-agam-1 ribozyme". It matches the Rfam family "drz-agam-1 ribozyme". Lineage: Eukaryota; Metazoa; Arthropoda; Insecta; Diptera; Culicidae. The record is from Rfam by way of RNAcentral.